UAGUCCACGCCGUAAACGAUGAAUACUAGGUGUGGGGGUUUCGAUACCUCCGUGCCGCCGCUAACGCAUUAAGUAUUCCGCCUGGGGAGUACGGUCGCAAGAUUAAAACUCAAAGGAAUUGACGGGGACCCGCACAAGCAGCGGAGCAUGUGGUUUAAUUCGAAGCAACGCGAAGAACCUUACCUACACUUGACAUCCCUUGCAUUACCCGUAAUUGGGGAAAUCUCUUCGGAGACAAGGUGACAGGUGGUGCAUGGUUGUCGUCAGCUCGUGUCGUGAGAUGUUGGGUUAAGUCCCGCAACGAGCGCAACCCCUAUUGUUAGUUGCUACUAUUAAGUUAAGCACUCUAGCGAGACUGCCUGGGUUAACCAGGAGGAAGGUGGGGACGACGUCAAAUCAUCGUGCCCCUUAUGUGUAGGGCUGCACACGUGCUACAAUGGCUGGUACAGAGAGACGCGAGACCGUGAGGUGGAGCAAAUCCCAGAAAACCAGUCCCAGUUCGGAUUGAAGGCUGAAACUCGCCUUCA
RNAcentral lists this ribosomal RNA (527 nucleotides) under uncultured bacterium. Its description in RNAcentral is "bacterial SSU rRNA". It matches the Rfam family "Bacterial small subunit ribosomal RNA", at positions 791 to 1320 of the family's 1533-position model. The record is from RNAcentral.